This 4455-nucleotide ribosomal RNA is filed under the name Triticum aestivum (bread wheat). Its description in RNAcentral is "partial small subunit ribosomal RNA". Lineage: Eukaryota; Viridiplantae; Streptophyta; Magnoliopsida; Poales; Poaceae. The record is from RNAcentral.
AUGGAGGUGGCCGUCAGCGCAGCACGGUGGGUGGUGACCAAGGCACUUGCCCCGGUGACAGAUGGCCUGCUGGAGGCGUGGGCGGCCAGCUCCGGGCUCGGCCCCAACAUCGACGCCCUCAAGAUGCAGCUGCUCUACGCCCAGGGGAUGCUCAACAACGCCCAGGGGCGGCAGGGCAGGGACAUCACCAACCCUGCUCUCAAGGGGCUGCUGCACAAGCUGAGGCAGCUGGCGUAUGUCGCCGAUGACCUGGGCUGCCUCCAGGACGCACUGGAAGGCACCUACCACGCAGCAGCCGGCGUGGAUGACCUGGGCUGCCUCCAGGCCCUCGCCCUCAACGCUCGCCACACGGCUAGAUCUGUUGCCGGCAAGAUCAAGUCCAUGAGCUCCUGCUCGCGUGCUGCUAGCCCACUUGAUGCCCAAGAAGAUAUUGGUGGGAGCCGUGGAUGCUCAUGUGCCGGCGGAUGCAUGCCCAAGGUUUCCUCUGGUGCUGUUCAAGCUGCUGUUGGUAAACACUUCCCAUGCUGCUACUCUUCUCCUCAUACCAGUGAGUUAGUCGAAUCGUCCAACGUGCCAGCUGCAAGCAAAUGGCGGCUCCUCUGUGGCGCCUGCCCACCCAAGGCACCGACACAGAGAGUUCGCAACACAGAGGAAACACCAAAACUGAAGUUUGAUAGGGUGGAAAUGUCCAAGAGAAUGGUAGACAUGGUAGAGCAGCUGAAGCAUGUAUGUGCUAUGGUCUCCACCAUUCUCAAUCUGGAGCUACUAAGCUUAAGCCGUAUUCCUAACCCAGUCAACAUUCCUAUGGAUCGACCCAAAACUACCCCACAAAUUAUAGAGCCUCAGCUAUAUGGGAGGGAUACCCAGAAAAAGGAAAUCAUAGAUGGCAUCACUCAUGGUGAAUAUUCUUCCAAACAACUUACUGUCCUUCCAAUUGUUGGGCCGGGGGGUGUUGGGAAGACAACCUUUACACAACACAUAUUUGAAGAAGUGAAGAGCUGUUUCCAGGUUAGAAUUUGGAUAUGUGUGUCUCUCAACUUCACUGCUGAUAGGUUGGCACAAGAGAUUUUGGAGCAGAUCCCCAAAGAUAACAGUAGUGAAAGCAAAAAUGGUAGUAGCAAAGAAGAGCAAAUUGAACAAAGGUUAAGAUCAAAAAGUUUCUUACUUGUCUUGGAUGAUGUGUGGAAAUAUCAUGAUGAUGAGUGGAAAAAACUAGUAGCUCCGUUCAAAAAGGCGGGGACAGAAGGCAAUAUGGUUAUAGUCACAACUCGAAUUCCAGGGGUAGCAGACAUGGUCAGGACAGUUGACCAUUCUAUAGAAAUGGAACAUCUUGGUCCUCAAGAUAUGUUGUCUUUCUUUGAAGCAUGUGUAUUUGGUGACCAACAACAACCAUGGCAAGAACAUCCUGAAUUACAAGAUGUUGGGCACAAAAUAGUGGAAAAAUUGAAGGGUUUUCCUCUUGCUGCAAAAACUGUGGGUAGAUUGCUCAGAAACCAGCUCACAUUUGACCAUUGGACAAGAGUUUUGGAAAGUAAAGAGUGGGAGUCACAAGCUAGCGAUAAUGACAUUAUGCCAGCCCUCAAGCUUAGCUAUGAUUAUCUCCCUUUCCAUCUGCAACAGUGUCUUUCCUACUGUGCAUUGUUUCCUGAAGAUUAUGAAUUUCAUGCAGAAGAGUUGGUUCAUCUGUGGAUUGGACUUGGUAUUUUACACUCAUCAGAUGAUCAGAAGAAAAGAAUUGAAGAUGUUGGAUUGUGUUACUUAACUGACUUGGUUAAUCAGGGGUUUUUCAAAAAGAAUGUAUCGAGCCUUGGCAGUCCUCGUUACACCAUCCAUGAUCUACUACUUGAGUUAGUAGUGAAGGUCUCAUCAUAUGAGUGUCUUAGCAUAUCCAGCUCUAAUGUGAUGUCCAUACAAAUUCCCCCAUCUGUACGUCAUUUGUCUAUCAUUGUAGAUGAUGCGGACGUCAAGGACACGGUGACUUUUGAAGACUACAAGAGGGAACUUCACUCUGACAUAUUUGAGGUGGGAAAACUAAAAUUCAUCAAUGAGUUGAGGGCAUUUAGAGUGGGACAAGAAGGUAACAUGUCUGAACUGAGUCAAAUAGGGAAACUGGCAAAUAUUGGAGGAUUACUUGGCAUUUACAAUCUUGAAAAGGUGCAGUCAGAAGAAGAAGCAACUGAAUCAAAACUGAUACAAAAAAGCCACAUGAAAGAGCUAAUAUUAGACUGGGAUGUUCAGCGAUCUAACAGGGAUCCUAAAUUUGAAGAAAAUAUCCUUGAAAGUCUUGUACCACACAGCAAUCUUCAAUGCUUAAGCAUUAGAGGGCAUGGAGGCACUGCCUGUCCAAGAUGGCUAGGUUCAAACCUCUCAGUCAAGAAUCUGGAAUCUCUUUCUCUGGAUGAUUUGUCUUGGGGAAACCUUCCACGUAUAGGAGAGGUGUGGAUGGUCAAUGAUCUUGGUGUUGAGUAUCAGGACUGCAUCUUAGGCCAAACAUUUCAAAAUUUGAAAAGGCUAGAAUUGGUUAAGAUACCAAGAUUGAGAAAAUGGGUUGAGGACAAUACUUCUCAUUUGUUCCCUCAGCUAGAAGAACUCACCAUUAAAGAUUGCUCUGAACUCACUGAGCUGCGAUCUUCCCAUCAUAAUAGUGGUCUGCCACAGCAAGAGAAGGACAUGGCUUGGUUUCCUAGACUAAAGUCUCUCAGGAUAGAAGACUGCCCAAAGCUAUUGUCAUUUCCUCAAAUCCCUUGGACUUCUAGCCCUUGCUCUGCUGUGAUAAAACGGGUGGACGCUGGUCUUGAGAAGCUAGUUUACGAAAAAAAGAGCGGAGCAGACUCAAGUUGUUCGCUGGAAGUGAAGGGAAAAGAUAACCGAGACAGUUUGUUUUUGAAUAAGUUGGUUUUCUCUAAUCUAACUUAUCUGAAAAAGUUGUUCAUUGAAAAUUGCUCUCCUCUGCUGCUUGAUAACCUCCUAAUGCUAACAUCUCUCGAGUUCCUCUCAAUAUGUGAUUCAAGCAAUGUAUUAUCCCAGGUUGAAAGUGUGAGCCAUGGCGGAUGCCUGCUAUCUGUUAAAAAGAUAAGUGUCAGACGAUGUGGUUGCAAUGGUAAGGAAUUGGCACAACUGCUCUCACUUCUGCCGGAGCUCACCGAAAUGACAAUAGUGGAUUGUCAGGAGAUAAAAUGGCUAGGUGUGGCGGGGCAAUUAUCAGCAUCUUCUUCUUCUGCUGCUGAACAAUUGAAUCAUGGGCAAAUCGGACAGCAGCAGCAAGAGUCGAAAGGAGGAGUAGACGUAGUGCUGCUCUUGCCUCCCCAGCUACAGAAGUUAAACAUCCAAGCGCUCCCAGAGCUGAGCUUGCUCUCCUAUUCACUGGAAGGUGGCAACGAAGGAGGUGGGCUCCAAGGUCUCUGCUCCCUUCAGUUUUUGACAAUAUGGGAUUGCCCCAAGUUACUCCACUCCUAUUCAUACUCUAAUAUUCCUUUUCCAACCUCCCUGCAAAUAUUAAUUUUGAGUGGUUGUGGGGAGUUCAGAGGCAAGGGCAUAGGCCCUCUCCUCGCCCAAGGCCACCUCACAUCGUUAAGCAUCCUUAAAACCCCCAACUUCUUCGUUGGUUCUGAGCCACUUGACAAGGAGCUUCUACCCUGCUCCUCUGCACAUCAGGAGCUUGAGCUGAAGACAGAUGAUAUUGCAAGGUUCAUUCCUGCUCAUAUCUGCAGCCUCCUCUCUUCCUCCCUCACCACCCUAACUAUUGCUUGGAACAAAGAUGACGAUCGCUUCACACAGCAAGCGGAGGCCCUUGAGCUCCUCACCUCCCUCCGGACGCUCGAGUUUAGAUCUUGCGAGAAGCUGCAGUGCCUCCCAGCAGGUCUACAUAGACUUGCCAGCCUCAAGACAUUAUGGAUAGGGUCCUGUCAAGUCAUGCGGUCGUUACCAGAGGACGGCCUCCCGAGUUCUCUGAAAAAAUUGGUGAUCGGCGACUGUCCUGCCAUCAAGUUGCUACCCAAGGGCAGCCUCCCAAGUUCGCUGCAAGUAUUAGAUAUAUGGUACUGCCCUGCCCUGGUGUCUCUGCCCAAAAACGGCCUCCCAAGCUCUCUGCAAAAAUUGGAAAUCUGGAACUGCCCUGCCUUAAAGUCGCUGCCGGAGGAUGGCCUCCCAAGAUCUCUGCAGAGCAACAACUCCGACACACUGCUUUCCGUAUCUGGGUCGAUGCAGAAGUUGGAAAGGUGGACGCGAAGCUUACUUGCUACUCCCUCAUCAACUCCAUCAGCCCACAAGUCAGUUCUUGUGGCUGACCUGAAAUUGGCAGAUUUCAAGCAGUUCCUAGCAAAUAAAGGCCUGCAGGUUGAGUUUGGUGGGGCUACUCUACGGUGCGGCGAAUAUUUCACGGUGUGCAAGAUUGGUGAUUUUCCAAAAGGGGAGCGCGGAUUCUCAGAAGAUUGUGAUCGAGGGCCCGUUGUGUGA